RNAcentral lists this ribosomal RNA (488 nucleotides) under uncultured bacterium. RNAcentral describes it as "partial 16S ribosomal RNA". It matches the Rfam family "Bacterial small subunit ribosomal RNA", at positions 28 to 507 of the family's 1533-position model. The record is from RNAcentral.
GACGAACGCUGGCGGCGUGCUUAACACAUGCAAGUCGAACGGAAAGGCCCUGCUUUUGUGGGGUGCUCGAGUGGCGAACGGGUGAGUAACACGUGAGUAACCUGCCCUUGACUUUGGGAUAACUUCAGGAAACUGGGGCUAAUACCGGAUAGGAGCUCCUGCUGCAUGGUGGGGGUUGGAAAGUUUCGGCGGGUGGGGAUGGACUGGCGGCUGAUCAGCUUGUUGGUUGGGUAGUGGCUGACCAAGGCGUGGAGGGGUAGCGGGCCUGGGAGGGUGAACGGGCACAGUGGAACUGAGACAGGGACCAGACUCCUACGGGAGGCAGCAGUGGGGAAUAGUGGACAGGGGGCGGAAGGCUGAUCCAGCCAUACGGCGUGGGUGAAGAAGGCCCUCGGGUGGUAAAGCCCGUUUGUGGGGAAAGAAAAGCAGCAGGUUAAUACGCCGCUGUUCUGACGGUACCGAAAGAAUAAGCACCGGCUAACUUCGUG